This 1347-nucleotide long non-coding RNA is filed under the name Olea europaea subsp. europaea. The record is from RNAcentral. Lineage: Eukaryota; Viridiplantae; Streptophyta; Magnoliopsida; Lamiales; Oleaceae.
CUUGGUCUCCAGGCACGACCCCAAUCCCAUUACUUGUUGGAAACUUCAUGGCUAGGUGAAAGGUAGACACAAUGGCUUUGAUCUUGUUCAGGAGUGGUCUUCCCAGGAUAGCAUUAUAGGCCAUUGAGACACGUACCACUUGAAAAGAUGUCAUCUCCGUAACCUGUUUCUAGCCAGAACCUAAAGUUAGAGGAAUCUCGACGAUACCCUCUUGAGUGAUGACUCCUCCCCCAAACCCCUGGAAAGGAGUUUUAACCGCUUUGAGCUGCUGAGAUGAGAUUCCCAUUUUGGCAAAAGCCUCUUAUGAAAGUAUAUUGACCGCACUCCCGUUAUUAACCAAGAUUCUCUUUACUUCAAAAUUGGCCACAAUCGCUGAGAUGACCAAGGCAUCAUCAUGUGGAAGUGAUACACCUUCCAAGUCCCUGGUUCCAAAAGUAAUAUCCUCCAGCUUUCCAUGAGGCAUCCCAGAGGCCAAGGUAUAUUGUCGGGCAUAUUGUUUUCUUCCACUGUUCGAGUCUCCUCCCGAGACAAUACCCCUAAUGAUGAUAUUGAUGGUUCCAGCAAUGGGUUGACCAUCCCUUUUUGCUUCAGGGGCUCUUUUCCUACCACGAUCGUUCCUCAGUCGUUUGUCGUUACCGACGUAGGAACUCAAGAGUUCUCUUUUAAUAAGGGUUUCAAUCUCUCGUUACAGGGCCUUACAGUUUUCCGUGGUAUGCCAAUGAUCCCAAUUGAACUCACAGUACGUGUUCAUGUCCCUGGAUUCAGGUGGUGACCUCAUUCUGGCAGGCCAUUUGAGUUCCUUCAUAUCCUUGAUAUCCAUCAAUAUAUUUGUUUUUGACGUAUUUAAACGCGUGAAUGACGUCGGGGGAACCUCCUGUCUCUGUUUUCUCCGAGGUGGUUCUUGAUGGCGGUUCGGGUCGUGUUGUCGUUUAUGCUCGACCCUAUCAUGGGAUGGUCCAAACUUUCUCAGGUUCAGUGUUUCCUCCAUAUUUAUGUACUUCUCGGCUUGGGUAAGAAGCUCGAUCACUGUCUUUGGUGGAGUUUUGAUAACGACAUCUUGAAAGCCUCACACUUUAUGGCAUAUGUAAGGGCAGAAACUGCUGCAGUUAUAUUUAGGUCGGGAAUCUGAAGUCUUUCCUUGUUGAACCUAGUCAUAAAGUCACGUAGGGUCUCAUUUUGCCCUUGUCUAAGUUACAUGAGGGAAUCCGUUGUCUUCCUGAUGCGUUUACUGCUUGUGAAGAAAGCGAGAACUUGUCCGCCAAAUUCAAGAAUGAGGCUAUGGAGUUGGGCUCUAAGGUUGAGAACCAAUCCCUAGCAGCAUUCGUCAAAAUUUGCGGGAAAGCCUUG